RNAcentral lists this ribosomal RNA (253 nucleotides) under uncultured bacterium. Its description in RNAcentral is "partial 16S ribosomal RNA". It matches the Rfam family "Bacterial small subunit ribosomal RNA", at positions 524 to 776 of the family's 1533-position model. The record is from RNAcentral.
UACAGAGGGCGCGAGCGUUAAUCGGAAUUACUGGGCGUAAAGGGUGCGUAGGCGGUUAGAUAAGUUAGAUGUGAAAUCCCUGGGCUUAACCUGGGAAUGGCAUUUAAUACUGUAUGACUAGAGUAGAGUAGAGGGAAGUGGAAUUUCCGGUGUAGCGGUGAAAUGCGUAGAUAUCGGAAAGAACAUCAGUGGCGAAGGCGGCUUCCUGGACUCAUACUGACGCUGAGGCACGAAAGCAUGGGGAGCAAACAGG